Long non-coding RNA from Lathyrus oleraceus (garden pea), 673 nucleotides. RefSeq lists it as uncharacterized. Lineage: Eukaryota; Viridiplantae; Streptophyta; Magnoliopsida; Fabales; Fabaceae. The transcript has 2 exons. The record is from RefSeq and is a predicted model, not a curated record.
AAAUUGUCAUUAAAGUAGGGGAACGGGCAAUUGCCUUUGUUACAUUUUUGCUCGUUUGAGAAGAGAUUUCACCAUGAACACAUCCCUCGCCGGGAAACGCGGUUUCCGACCAAUCCCACAACGGGGUUCCGAACGUUACCUUUCUCCUCACUCGCACACCCUCGUCUCCGCCAUCCGCUCGAAAUUUUAUUCUAUCUCAUCUUGUGAAUUUUAGAGAUGGAACCAUUUCAAAUUGUGACACAUUAUGCAUGCGAUUGCGGUGUUGAAGAAAUGUUUGGUUAAAGAAGCGAGAGACGUGGAAGGAAAUAGGUGUGAGACACCUUCUUCAUAAAUUUUGAUAGGAAUACAAUGAAGAAGCUGUUGCAAGAGGUUGGCUGUUUGGUAACUUUUUGUUAUUUUACAUUCAGAUAUGGUUUUAAGAGCAGGUAUUGUCCUAAAAGUUAUCAAUUUAUUAUUAUGAUUUUGUAUGAUAUUGCUAUCAAUUCUCUACUCAUAUUGACCUGGUUUUGUAAUUUUAUAGGUUCUUACUGCCUUUUGAGUUUGUGUUUUGUAAUAAAAUAUAUCUAAUGAUCGAUAUUUGUGUACAACUAAAUCAGCAUUUUAGUCCUUGAAACUGUGAAGGUCAGUCAAUUUAGUCCCUUAACAUUUAUAGAAUCAAAAUUAGUCCCUUAAA